RNAcentral lists this ribosomal RNA (441 nucleotides) under uncultured bacterium. RNAcentral describes it as "bacterial SSU rRNA". It matches the Rfam family "Bacterial small subunit ribosomal RNA", at positions 954 to 1392 of the family's 1533-position model. The record is from RNAcentral.
GCAUAACGCGAAGAACCUUACCUGGGCUCGAACGGUUGACGACACCCGCUAGAAAUAGUGGGGUUUCCUUCGGGAACGGCAAUCGAGGUGCUGCAUGGCUGUCGUCAGCUCGUGUCGUGAGAUGUUGGGUUAAGUCCCGCAACGAGCGCAACCCUUGUCCUGUGUUGCUAAUCUUCGGAUGCACUCUCAGGAGACCGCCAGCGACAAGCUGGAGGAAGGUGGGGAUGACGUACAAGUCAGCAUGGUCCUUUAUGUCCGAGGGCUACACACGUGCUACAAGUGGGCAGGACAAUGCGUUGACCAACCGCGAGGGGAGCUAAUCGUAUAAACCUGUUCUCAGUUCGGAUUGCAGGCUGCAACUCGCCUGCAUGAAGCUGGAAUCGCUAGUAAUGGCAGAUCAGCAUGCUGCCGUGAAUACGUUCCCGGGUCUUGUACACACCG